Molecule: long non-coding RNA, 3407 nt
Organism: Chrysemys picta bellii (western painted turtle)
Lineage: Eukaryota; Metazoa; Chordata; Testudines; Emydidae
Source: RefSeq, a predicted model, not a curated record
GAUCCACGCAACCUGCCGAUGGCAGCUGUGCUCGCUCCUCCAUCCCGCCGGGCGCUGCUGCUGGGCAAGGCAGGGGCACGGCCGCACAGGUGAAGCUGCUGCGAGCUGCUGGCAUCACCUGUGCGCGAGCGGCUGCCGCAUGAAAUUCUAUUGGAGAACCUGGAAGAGAUGGAAGUUCCAAGAAGCAAGUUGAAUCUGCCAUCCACAGUCCCUGUCUUGGAAAGUGACUCGGGGAAAAACAAAUGGCAUCACCAGGGACAUAACCUCACCAUUAACUUUGCCACCUGGAUUUGUGGUGGACCCUGGGCUGAAGAGGCUUUCAGAUCACUUCAGACCUGACAAUGAGGUUUUUAACAAUUUACCUGAACAAAAGUUUAAGACUGUUACUCUUAGAAUGUCUGUUUUGGAGGAUAAAGUCUCAGCAUUAGAGGCUUGAUUUAGUAUUUACUGAAGUUACAAAAGAAAAUAAAGAAGUAAAGAACAGGAUGGACCUUUUGGAGUACAAGCAAUGCACAAGAAAGCUUAGUAGGGUUGGUGUUCCUGAGUUCUUUUGUCUUGAAAGAUCCUAUAGCAUCCUUUUCCAAAGUGGUGCCAGCGGUACUGGGAUUGACUCCCUCUGAGAUCUUUCUUCUAGAAUCAGUGAGAUUUUUGCUUCUCUUGUACCACUGACAACCUGCUGUGAGGAUAAUUCUCAUUACCCGUUCUGCGCUUAACACAAGAAGUAGGAUUUUGAAAGCCUCCAGAAUCUUGAGUGAAGUAAGGUGUUAAGGAAAGAAAGCAAGGUUAUAUCCAUAGCAUGCCACUAAUCCAGUAAAGAAAACAAACGCCUUUGUGGCUGUGAAGAAAAAAACUGCACAGCAUUUUGCCUUAUUGUCACCUGCAAAACUGAGGGGUCCCCAUGGUUGCAACAAAUGUUUAUUUGGACCUGUGGCUGAUAUUAAUCAUUUCAUAGAUCAGUGUAUGGCUGAAUUAACAGAGUAGGUGAAAGAGGCAGAUUCAGAUGCUGUCCAUUGAAGAUUUAGGGCCAUAUUGUACUCUGACUUAACCCAGUGAAAUACCAUUGACUUCAGUGGAGUUUCACAGUGCAUGAGUCAGAACAGAAUUUGUCCCUUUAGAAUAAUUACGUAUGUGUGCAACAACUACUGAAGUCAGUGGAAUGUAUAUGUGUAUCUGAGGGAUGAAUUUGUCCCUUAGACCUUUUGCUCUGAAAAAUAUGUGACUUGCUUUAAAAGCUUUCCCCUUCAGAUUGUUUGGAAGUUUCUAUAUUCGUUGAAGCAUGCAGUAUGAUUCACACACUCAUACUGCCCUAAUUUGCUUUCUAGACAUCUUUUAGUAUACAAAUAAUUAAUCAUGCCCGGUACACAUUCAGCACCUUUCAUAUAAGGUUCUCAAAAUACUUUACAAACAGUUAAUUAAGCCUCACAAAAUCUCUGUGGGAUACGUGUUAUCUUCAUUUUACAGAUGGAGAAGAGAGAAUUGAAAAGGACAUUUUGGCCCCACUGAAUUCAAUGGGAAUUUUGUCAUUGACUUCAGCGAGGCCAGGAUUUCACCCUUUUGUGCAUAGAUCAGAUUGUCAUGGUUUCUUCUGUCUAGUCAGUUACUUAAUCAGUUUCCACUGUUUGGCUCUCUCUUGUCACUGCUUGAGAGAACCACACAAACAUUUUUUUUUUAAGAAAAAACAGAAAAAUGUGAAGAAACCACAAUAAUUGGAAGGGGGACUCUGGGGAAAGUGUAUAACCUGAAAAUAUUUUUAAUUCAUUUUUUUUAGCUUAGUAAAUUUCAAGUGGAUGCUGUGUGUGUCUGUCUGUCUGUCUCUCUCUCUCUCUCACACACACACACACAGCCCGCCUCCCCACCACACACACACACAUGCACACACACCUCUUGAACCAGUGAAAAAGAAGGGACUUUGUCUCAAAUUUUCAAAAGUUCAUGGCUGUCUGUGUGCAGAUUAGGUCUAUGCAAAAGUGCAUGGACACACUUUGGAAAAUCUGAGACCAUGUACCCAAAAUUGUAUGUAUAAUAAUGUGUUUCAUUCACCUGCAAUAAUGUAAGACUUGUUUUGUUGUUGAAAAAUUAUUAAUUAAAAAUGUUAAAAGGUCAAAGACUAGGCUAGUGUGAUAGUAGAAUACAGGGAGCAUGUUGGAGAAUAGAGAGAAAUGUGGUGGAGAAAUUAGGAAGCAUCCAUAAAGUUCUUUAUAGAUAGCUCAGGAGAGAGAUGUGAUAUUUCAUGCUGAAAUGGACAGAGAGCCACUGAAGAUUUAUGUGAAGAGAGUGGUAUGUUCCAGUUAAUAUGAAUGAGUGAGCAGAGAAGUUGUAACAAUUACAUUAGUCAAGAUGCUGAAAAUUCAGAAUAGCCUGCUGCAUCCAUGUAAGGCCACAAAUGCAGUGGAAAAUCAUGUUUCUGCUGUGCAAGAGGGCUAAGCAGCAGAGAACCAAAACAGUUGGACUGUACCCCUUUCUGUAUGUUCUAGAGCACAGAGGUUUUCAGUGGGUCCAUGCAUGGUACCAGAGAGUGGUAGAAUGUGGUCAAAUCGGGUUGUGGCCAGUGGGAAUUGUGCACGGUCUAGAUGUACUGGGCCAACCUGCCAUAUGAAGGAACAGUGGACUGUGCUUGCUGUCCCCCUCACUCCCUGCAGUGACUGUGGCUUGGUCAUGUCAUUUACUGCAUAUUUGAGAUAGGUAUUCCAAUCUCUGAGUCCCAGGACAUUUCUGCCAUGUUCAUAAGCUCACAUCCAGUUUACUUGGGCUGCACAUUCUUUCCCAGUAUAUUGCUCAGUGAAAGUAAAUGAAGGUCUACUCUAAAAGAAUCUGGCAGAGGAAUCAUCAAGCUAUUGUUUGAUGCAGGUGACGUUUUGAAAGAAACAAUAGGCAGAUUUACAUACCUGGGUAAUGAAAUUGAACAGCACUUCUUUUAACUUUUAAAUUACAUUAAAAUUGAUCAGUGCUGAUGCUCUUUUUUAUGGGUGUUAUAACUGAAGUGCUGUUAUGCUUUGCUUACAAAGGAAUUCCUCUGGGUAGGAUAAAAUAACCUCAUAAAAUUCAAUUCCUUUAUCUGUUUUCAUGUACAUAAUAAAAAAACCCAGCUAUUUAUUUAAACUAACCACACAGCUCCAACAUUUCAUUUUUAUGAUGUAUAAAAUAAGCUUGUCUAAGGUUUGGGAUGUUUUGAACUAUACAUAUAUGCUGUAGAUAUAAAUAGAAUUUUGUUCUUAGAAUGCUGCAAUAUUUUUCUCUCUCUGAGUUUUCAUGGAGAAGGGUAUCUUGUUGUGGCACUUGUUAAUAUUACUUGUUUAACUGCUUAUUCAGCACCUUGAGGCAAGUAGAUCAAUCUAAUUUGUACAUUAUGAGUAAUGCUUUAAGUUCUACAAAUAUACAUGCAGUUACAAUAAAUUGUGUACUAAACA